UUGAACGCUGGCGGCAGGCCUAACACAUGCAAGUCGAGCGGAUGAAGGGAGCUUGCUCCUGGCUUCAGCGGCGGACGGGUGAGUAAUGCCUAGGAAUCUGCCUGGUAGUGGGGGAUAACGUCCGGAAACGGGCGCUAAUACCGCAUACGUCCUGAGGGAGAAAGUGGGGGAUCUUCGGACCUCACGCUAUCAGAUGAGCCUAGGUCGGAUUAGCUAGUUGGUGGGGUAAAGGCCUACCAAGGCGACGAUCCGUAACUGGUCUGAGAGGAUGAUCAGUCACACUGGAACUGAGACACGGUCCAGACUCCUACGGGAGGCAGCAGUGGGGAAUAUUGGACAAUGGGCGAAAGCCUGAUCCAGCCAUGCCGCGUGUGUGAAGAAGGUCUUCGGAUUGUAAAGCACUUUAAGUUGGGAGGAAGGGCAGUAAGUUAAUACCUUGCUGUUUUGACGUUACCAACAGAAUAAGCACCGGCUAACUUCGUG
This 483-nucleotide ribosomal RNA is filed under the name uncultured bacterium. RNAcentral's name for it is "partial 16S ribosomal RNA". It matches the Rfam family "Bacterial small subunit ribosomal RNA", at positions 30 to 507 of the family's 1533-position model. The record is from RNAcentral.